CAGAACGAACGCUGGCGGCAGGCCUAACACAUGCAAGUCGAACGGAUCCUUCGGGAUUAGUGGCAGACGGGUGAGUAACGCGUGGGAAGCUACCUUGUGGUAGGGAACAACAGUUGGAAACGACUGCUAAUACCCUAUGAGCCCUAUGGGGGAAAGAUUUAUCGCCAUGAGAUGUGCCCGCGUUAGAUUAGCUAGUUGGUAAGGUAAUGGCUUACCAAGGCGACGAUCUAUAGCUGGUCUGAGAGGAUGAUCAGCCACACUGGGACUGAGACACGGCCCAGACUCCUACGGGAGGCAGCAGUGGGGAAUAUUGGACAAUGGGGGCAACCCUGAUCCAGCCAUGCCGCGUGAGUGAUGACGGCCUUAGGGUUGUAAAGCUCUUUCAGCAGUGAAGAUAAUGACAUUAACUGCAGAAGAAGCCCCGGCUAACUUCGUGCCAGCAGCCGCGGUAAUACGAAGGGGGCUAGCGUUGUUCGGAAUCACUGGGCGUAAAGCGUACGUAGGCGGACUGAUCAGUCAGGGGUGAAAUCCCGGGGCUCAACCCCGGAACUGCCUUUGAUACUGUCAGUCUUGAGAUCGAGAGAGGUGAGUGGAACUCCGAGUGUAGAGGUGAAAUUCGUAGAUAUUCGGAAGAACACCAGUGGCGAAGGCGGCUCACUGGCUCGAUA
This 668-nucleotide ribosomal RNA is filed under the name Pseudovibrio sp. RNAcentral describes it as "bacterial SSU rRNA". It matches the Rfam family "Bacterial small subunit ribosomal RNA", at positions 25 to 739 of the family's 1533-position model. Lineage: Bacteria; Pseudomonadati; Pseudomonadota; Alphaproteobacteria; Hyphomicrobiales; Stappiaceae. The record is from RNAcentral.